UCUUACAGAUGAGAAAAAAAGUGAUUUAUUGAGAUGGGAACCUACUCCUGGUAAAGAUGCUGUGAA
RNAcentral lists this microRNA precursor (66 nucleotides) under Marmota monax (woodchuck). The record is from RNAcentral. Lineage: Eukaryota; Metazoa; Chordata; Mammalia; Rodentia; Sciuridae.